This 21-nucleotide non-coding RNA is filed under the name Arabidopsis thaliana (thale cress). The record is from RNAcentral. Lineage: Eukaryota; Viridiplantae; Streptophyta; Magnoliopsida; Brassicales; Brassicaceae.
CAGCCGCCGAUAAAAUCCUUA